UACGGAGGGUGCAAGCGUUACUCGGAAUCACUGGGCGUAAAGGACGCGUAGGCGGUCAGAUAAGUUGGAUGUGAAAUCCUAUGGCUUAACCAUAGAACUGCAUCCAAAACUGUUUGACUAGAAUGAGGGAGAGGUCAGUGGAAUUAGUGGUGUAGGGGUAAAAUCCGUAGAGAUCACUAGGAAUACUCAUUGCGAAGGCGACUGACUGGAACUUUAUUGACGCUGAGGCGUGAAAGCGUGGGGAGCAAACAGGAUUAGAUACCCUGGUAGUCCACGCCCUAAACGAUGUACACUAGUUGUUGGGAUGCAAGUCAUCUCAGUGAUGCAGCUAACGCAUUAAGUGUACCGCCUGGGGAGUACGGUCGCAAGAUUAAAACUCAAAGGAAUAGACGGGGACCCGCACAAGUGGUGGAGCAUGUGGUUUAAUUCGAAGAUACGCGAAGAACCUUACCUGGGCUUGACAUCCCGAGAAUCAUCCAGAGAUGGAUGAGUGCCAGUUUACUGGAGCUCGGUGACAGGUGCUGCACGGCUGUCGUCAGCUCGUGUCGUGAGAUGUUGGGUUAAGUCCCGCAACGAGCGCAACCCUCGUCCUUAGUUGCUAACAGUUUGGCUGAGCACUCUAAGGAGACUGCCUCCGCAAGGAGGAGGAAGGUGAGGACGACGUCAAGUCAUCAUGGCCCUUAUGCCCAGGGCGACACACGUGCUACAAUGGGGAGGACAAUGAGAAGCGAUACCGCGAGGUGGAGCAAAUCUAUAAACCUUCUCUCAGUUCGGAUUGCACUCUGCAACUCGAGUGCAUGAAGCUGGAAUCACUAGUAAUCGUAGGUCAGCCAUGCUACGGUGAAUACGUUCCCGGGU
This 858-nucleotide ribosomal RNA is filed under the name uncultured bacterium. RNAcentral describes it as "bacterial SSU rRNA". It matches the Rfam family "Bacterial small subunit ribosomal RNA", at positions 524 to 1379 of the family's 1533-position model. The record is from RNAcentral.